This 253-nucleotide ribosomal RNA is filed under the name uncultured bacterium. RNAcentral's name for it is "partial 16S ribosomal RNA". It matches the Rfam family "Bacterial small subunit ribosomal RNA", at positions 524 to 776 of the family's 1533-position model. The record is from RNAcentral.
UACGUAGGGUGCAAGCGUUGUCCGGAAUUAUUGGGCGUAAAGAGCGUGUAGGCGGCCCGAUUAGUCCGCUGUGAAAGUCCAGGGCUCAACCCUGGAAUGCCAGUGGAUACUGUCGGGCUAGAGUCCGGAAGGGGCGAGUGGAAUUCCUGGUGUAGCGGUGAAAUGCGCAGAUAUCAGGAGGAACACCAAUGGCGAAGGCAGCUCGCUGGGACGUGACUGACGCUGAGACGCGAAAGCGUGGGGAGCAAACAGG